CCACCAGAAUGGAGUACCCUUGUCAUGAAUGACGACAAAAAAGACGUGCCUUAGGAAGACAAUAACAAAACUUAAUGAAAAAAAAAUAAUGGAGGAAAAGGAUGAACCUAACGUGGUGAAAAUAGAGGAGGAAUGGAGAAGGAAAACAAUAACGAAAGAAAUGGGGAUGUCUUCACAGUGAGGGAAAUGGAAGAAUGAAAGUGUUGGCAAUGAGAAGUUAACCGUGGCAAAAAUGGAAGGACAUGAGUGUUGGCUUAAAAAAAGGCACUGCAACUGCUAGAGAGUGUACGAGUGAAGUUACAACAGCAGGGAGAACGUGAAUGUUGGCUUUGAAAUUGGUGCUCUAGUGGUGAGAAAGUGUAUGAGUGGAGUUACAACUACGAAAAUUGAGCAACAGUUGUGGAGAUUGUAAUGAGAGUAGAGUGUAAAACUUCUUUUCAAUGAGACAAUGCAACAAAGAGUUUAUGCGAGUGUAAAAUUCAUAAAAUUUAACCUUGAAGAGAGGUUUAGGUUUUAGUUGUUUGUAAAACCGAAGCCUAAACACAAAUAAACUUUGAUUUUACCAACAAUCAAAGCCUAAUGGUGCCACUAAAAUAAAAUAAAAAAUAACAAUGAUA
This 617-nucleotide long non-coding RNA is filed under the name Vigna radiata. RNAcentral's name for it is "long non-coding RNA (VRAD_LNC008342)". Lineage: Eukaryota; Viridiplantae; Streptophyta; Magnoliopsida; Fabales; Fabaceae. The record is from RNAcentral.